Nothoprocta perdicaria is the source of this 1003-nucleotide long non-coding RNA. RefSeq lists it as uncharacterized. The record is from RefSeq and is a predicted model, not a curated record. Lineage: Eukaryota; Metazoa; Chordata; Aves; Tinamiformes; Tinamidae. The transcript has 2 exons.
AAUUCUAUAUAAUUGUCUGCUGUUGCAUGAAGACUGAAGCCUCUUACAGCCUGAAUACUUAAGAAAGGAUCUCUAUCAUGUGACUGUCCCGAUGUGUGCUUCCUUAUACCUUAAGCCAAAAAGGACUUACUAUGUGUAUCAUGGCUAACUCUCAUGGGAUCAGUGAUCUGAUAAUCUCUAUAUUUUGUGGAGAAGCUGAGAAGGUUUCACGAGAGAAGCUGGAUAUCACAGGAACCGCCAUUAAGAAGGUUCAUCCAAGAUGACAGUCAUUUCUACCCAUCAUGGGCAAACCACCUGGACUCUGGAAACUGCACUUAAUUUAUUUGCAAUCAGUUGCAGUUUUGGACAACCUUGGGCUGUUCUGCUUUCUCGCAGCAUGGCUGUAAUGGGCUAUGACUGGCACAGCGCACUGCAUGAACCUCUCCUGCACAGGUCCUCCUGCAGCCCCUGCAACCCAAACUUGGCCACGUAGACCUCGUGCAACACUUUUCCUUGGCAAUAUAGUAUUUAACGUGUCUGUCAAGAGAGAAUGCCUGUUCGAAGAUGACUUGCAAGUGAGGUGGCUUUCUGCUUGGACAUGGCAAUCUCUUCAUUGCCCACAGAGGUAACCUAGAGAAGUAGUUCAGAUUAGCUUUUCAGAACAAGAUAAAAGUAAAUCUAUCCUUAGGAAAUAGAAUUCAAAUAACAUCAGYGGUCUUGUAGGUUGUUAUUGUAGGAUCCGAAUGUUCUGUGCUAGUAUUGCUCCUCAGGACAGGGCAUAGAUUCCUCCAAACCUCCCCAUCACAGAGGUGGGUGCCUGCUGUGUGCCCAUCCUCUAGGUCCACUCCAGAUACAGCCAAUUGGUGACCAUUGUUCAUCUGAUUAAAGUUGGGGAGAGGAGGCCACUUUGUCAUGACACACUAUUUUCAGUUCAAAGCUUAAGCUUAUUAAUUAAGAAUUUUAGAAAAGAGACUAUGGAUAUGUGCAACACAAGAUAUUUAUUAUAUUCAGAACAACGUAAAAG